This 85-nucleotide transfer RNA is filed under the name Melampsora larici-populina 98AG31. Its description in RNAcentral is "tRNA-Arg for anticodon ACG". It matches the Rfam family "tRNA". Rfam says of the family: Transfer RNA (tRNA) molecules are approximately 80 nucleotides in length. Their secondary structure includes four short double-helical elements and three loops (D, anti-codon, and T loops). The record is from Rfam by way of RNAcentral. Lineage: Eukaryota; Fungi; Basidiomycota; Pucciniomycetes; Pucciniales; Melampsoraceae.
GGCUAUCUGGCCCAAUGGUUAAGGCGCUUGCCUACGAUCGUGUUUCGAAAGCAAGAGACUCCAGGUUCGAGUCCUGGGAUGGUCG